GACAAACGCUGGCGGCGUGCCUAAUACAUGCAAGUCGAACGACGAAAGCCUUCGGGCAAGUAAGAGUGGCGCACGGGCGAGGAACACGUAGAUAAUCUGCCCUUCAGUGGGGAAUAACUCUCCGAAAGGAGUGCUAAUACCGCAUAAGACCACAGCUCUGCGGAGCAAGGGGUUAAAGGACUUAUUCGCUGAAGGAUGAGUCUGCGUCCGGUUAGCUAGUUGGUGAGGUAAUGGCUUACCAAGGCAAUGAUCGUUGGAUGGUCUGAGAGGAUGAUCAUCCGAACUGGAACUGGGACACGGUCCAGACUCCUACGGGAGGCAGCAGUAGGGAAUAUUGCACAAUGGGGGAAACCCUGAUGCAGCAACGCCGCGUGAGUGAUGAAGGCUCUAGGGUCGUAAAGCUCUGUCGUAUGGGAAGAAAAAAAUGACGGUACCAUACAAGAAAGGACCGGCCAACUUCGUGCCAGCCGCCGCGGUAA
Molecule: ribosomal RNA, 479 nt
Filed under: uncultured bacterium
Lineage: Bacteria
Description: partial 16S ribosomal RNA
Rfam family: Bacterial small subunit ribosomal RNA
Source: RNAcentral